AGAGGGCAUGCGUAUUCGAACCACGGAUUUUUCGAUCUGCAGUGAAAUACUUUACCAUUGAGCUAUACCACC
RNAcentral lists this transfer RNA (72 nucleotides) under Cordylochernes scorpioides. Its description in RNAcentral is "tRNA-Cys". Lineage: Eukaryota; Metazoa; Arthropoda; Arachnida; Pseudoscorpiones; Chernetidae. The record is from RNAcentral.